Molecule: ribosomal RNA, 253 nt
Filed under: uncultured bacterium
Lineage: Bacteria
Description: partial 16S ribosomal RNA
Rfam family: Bacterial small subunit ribosomal RNA
Source: RNAcentral
UACGUAGGGGGCUAGCGUUGUCCGGAAUCAUUGGGCGUAAAGCGCGUGUAGGCGGUCCGGUAAGUCCGCUGUGAAAGUCGGGGGCUCAACCCUCGGAUGCCGGUGGAUACUGUCGGGCUUGAGUACGGAAGAGGCGAGUGGAAUUCCUGGUGUAGCGGUGAAAUGCGCAGAUAUCAGGAGGAACACCAAUUGCGAAGGCAGCGCGCUGGGACGUUACUGACGCUGAGACGCGAAAGCGUGGGGAGCGAACAGG